AUGGAGUGGCGGCGUGCUUACACAUGCAGUCGAACGGUAAGGCCCCUUCGGGGGUACACGAGUGGCGAACGGGUGAGUAACACGUGGGUGACCUGCCCUGUACUUCGGGAUAAGCCUGGGAAACUGGGUCUAAUACCGGAUAUGACCUUCCCCUGCAUGGGGGUUGGUGGAAAGCUUUUGCGGUACAGGAUGGGCCCGCGGCCUAUCAGCUUGUUGGUGGGGUAAUGGCCUACCAAGGCGACGACGGGUAGCCGGCCUGAGAGGGCGACCGGCCACACUGGGACUGAGACACGGCCCAGACUCCUACGGGAGGCAGCAGUGGGGAAUAUUGCACAAUGGGCGAAAGCCUGAUGCAGCGACGCCGCGUGAGGGAUGACGGCCUUCGGGUUGUAAACCUCUUUCAGUAGGGACGAAGCGCAAGUGACGGUACCUACAGAAGAAGCACCGGCCAACUACGUGCCAGCAGCCGCGGUAAUACGUAGGGUGCGAGCGUUGUCCGGAUUUACUGGGCGUAAAGAGCUCGUAGGCGGUUUGUCACGUCGUCUGUGAAAACCCGAGGCUUAACCUCGGGCCUGCAGGCGAUACGGGCAGACUUGAGUACUGUAGGGGAGACUGGAAUUCCUGGUGUAGCGGUGGAAUGCGCAGAUAUCAGGAGGAACACCGGUGGCGAAGGCGGGUCUCUGGGCAGUAACUGACGCUGAGGAGCGAAAGCGUGGGUAGCGAACAGGAUUAGAUACCCUGGUAGUCCACGCCGUAAACGGUGGGUACUAGGUGUGGGUUUCCUUCCACGGGAUCCGUGCCGUAGCUAACGCAUUAAGUACCCCGCCUGGGGAGUACGGCCGCAAGGCUAAAACUCAAAGGAAUUGACGGGGGCCCGCACAAGCGGCGGAGCAUGUGGAUUAAUUCGAUGCAACGCGAAGAACCUUACCUGGGUUUGACAUAUAGAGGAUCGCCGGAGAGAUUCGGUUUGCCUUGUGCCUUCUAUACAGGGGGUGCAUGGCUGUCGUCAGCUCGUGUCCGGGAAAUGUUGGGUUUAAGUCAGCAACGAGCGCAACCCUUGUCUCAUGUUGCCAGCACGUAAUGGUGGGGACUCGUGAGAGACUGCCGGGGUCAACUCGGAGGAAGGUGGGGAUGACGUCAAGUCAUCAUGCCCCUUAUGUCCAGGGCUUCACACAUGCUACAAUGGCGCGUACAGAGGGCUGCGAUACCGUGAGGUGGAGCGAAUCCCUUAAAGCGCGUCUCAGUUCGGAUUGGGGUCUGCAACUCGACCCCAUGAAGUCGGAGUCGCUAGUAAUCGCAGAUCAGCAACGCUGCGGUGAAUACGUUCCCGGGCCUUGUACACACCGCCCGUCACGUCAUGAAAGUCGGUAACACCCGAAGCCGGUGGCCUAACCCUUGUGGAGGGAGCUGUCGAAGGUGGGAUUGGCGAUGGACG
This 1435-nucleotide ribosomal RNA is filed under the name Tsukamurella sp. Its description in RNAcentral is "bacterial SSU rRNA". It matches the Rfam family "Bacterial small subunit ribosomal RNA". The record is from RNAcentral. Lineage: Bacteria; Bacillati; Actinomycetota; Actinomycetes; Mycobacteriales; Tsukamurellaceae.